This 253-nucleotide ribosomal RNA is filed under the name uncultured bacterium. RNAcentral describes it as "partial 16S ribosomal RNA". It matches the Rfam family "Bacterial small subunit ribosomal RNA", at positions 524 to 776 of the family's 1533-position model. The record is from RNAcentral.
UACGAAGGGGGCUAGCGUUGCUCGGAAUCACUGGGCGUAAAGCGCACGUAGGCGGAUUGCUAAGUCAGGGGUGAAAUCCUGGAGCUCAACUCCAGAACUGCCUUUGAUACUGGCGGUCUCGAGUCCGGGAGAGGUGAGUGGAACUGCGAGUGUAGAGGUGAAAUUCGUAGAUAUUCGCAAGAACACCAGUGGCGAAGGCGGCUCACUGGCCCGGUACUGACGCUGAGGCACGAAAGCGUGGGGAGCAAACAGG